GAGACACGGUCCUCACUCCUACGGGAGGCAGGGGAGGGGAAUAUUGUGCAAUGGGCGCUAGCCUGAUGCAGCCAUGCCGGGGGUGUGAGGAAGGGCUUUGGGUAGCUAUUUCCUUUCGGAAGAAAGGAAGGUGAUGGGGUUUAUAACCGAAGCAAUUGACGUUUCCCGCACAACAAGCACCGGCUAACUUCGGGCCAGCAGGCGGGGCAAUACGGAGGGUGCAAGCGUUAAUCGGAAUUACUGGGCGUAAAGCGCACGCAGGCGCGCUGUUAAACCGGAUGUGAUAAUCCCCGCGGGGCUCAAGCCUGUGAAUCCGCACUUCGAUAGCUGGCAGGCUAAGGAGUCUGCGUGGAGAGGUCGUGUACUACUUCCAUGGAGUAGCGAGUGAAACACGUAAGAGAUCCGGAGGAAUACCGGUAUCUGAAGGCGGCCACCCUGAACAUAAGACUGACACUCAGGUGCGGAAAUGCGUGGGGAGCAAACAGGAUUAGAAUACCCUGCGCUAGUCCACGUCCGUAAAAGAUGUCGAUUUCGAGUGUCGGUGCCCUCGAAGCCGUGAGCUCCCGCAGUCUAACAGCGCUAGACUCGACCAGCCUGGCGAGUAAGGACUGCAAGGUUAAAAAUCUAAAUGAAUUGACGCGCGCCCGCCCAAGCAUGUGGAGCAUGUGGUUUAAUUCGAUGAGAACCUAACAACCUUACCUGGUCUUCGCAUCCACAGAAAUUUCACAGGUCAUGCCUUGUGUGCCU
This 747-nucleotide ribosomal RNA is filed under the name bacterium. RNAcentral describes it as "bacterial SSU rRNA". It matches the Rfam family "Bacterial small subunit ribosomal RNA", at positions 321 to 1018 of the family's 1533-position model. The record is from RNAcentral.